RNAcentral lists this long non-coding RNA (2070 nucleotides) under Triticum aestivum (bread wheat). Its description in RNAcentral is "long non-coding RNA (TAES_LNC003390)". The record is from RNAcentral. Lineage: Eukaryota; Viridiplantae; Streptophyta; Magnoliopsida; Poales; Poaceae.
UUUUUUUUUGUUUUUUUGCGGAUAGUUGAAUGUUGAUCCUGCGUUGCAUGUUACUUGGAUUCCUUGGAAUUCGGGCCGAUAGAACUUUUUUUUCUUUUCUCUUAAUUUUUGCAAGAAAACUUUGGAUCUAAUAAUUUUAAUCAUGACAGUACAACGAACACGCAAAUAAUAAAAAAUAUAUCCAGAUCCGUAAAUCACCUAGCGACGAGUACAAGCACUAAAUCGAGUUGAAGGCGUGCCGCCAUCAUCGCCCCUCCCACGCCGGAACCGGGCAAAACUUAUUGCUUUAGACAGUCGGGAAUUCGUCGUGCUAAGGCCCCAUGGAGCGCACGAGAACAAUCACCACCGUUGUUGAAGAGUAGCGGAGAUCGGAAGAAUACAACUUAAAGACGCACGAACAUAGACAAACUACUAACAGAUCUAAGCAAAUACAUCAAAGAUAGACAUCAUUUUUUUUAGAAUGUUGGCAGGCCCACAGACACUGAGAUAGACACUCGUGGAUUGCAAGAUUUGUGCAUUCCAAACUGGCGUGGCAAGUUGCUCCAUGCUCUCCUCCAUUCGAGGGUGGUUUGCCCGGAAGGAGCGGAGCGGCUUCUCUUUGGCACGGUGCGGGGGCUCUUCUCUGCUCUGGCGCGCACGUAUGCCAUGAGGCCACCACCCACCACAGCCCCGACACGGCUUGCAGGGGCACCGCUGUGACUGACUGCUCACGCGGGCGCCGGAAUUGCAGAUGGCUCCCUCCCCGGAUCGGCGCUGGAGCAUCCGAUGAGGCGGCUGCUUGUCCAUCGCAGAAGUAAUUACGUACUAGUAGGAGUACUAGUAAAAUCAAAUAACCAUGGAUGCCAUCCAUCCGUAAAACAGUAAAUGCAGCAGUAAGUGCGAGCUGAACCUUUGUACAGCGACUCCAUUGAACCGAGGCAUGGGCACAACAGAGACAGCAGGAGUAGUAGUAGCAGCAGCAGCACUGCAUCUGCAUUCAUCCAUCCAUCCAUCCACUCAAGGCCGAGGCGUCCGGCCGGCCAUAACCAUGAAGCGUGCGACGCAUGCACGCACGACGCAGUGGACUGGCGUGCCUCGGUUCGUGCCAUUGCCAUGAAUCUUCUCUGCGGCCCGCGGAUCGUCGGCACUGUCGCUCACGCGCCUCUCGCUGAGCGAGCCGCAUUUACGCUUUCCCUGUGUGUCCUUGCCACGCCUCCUCCCGUGAGUUGGCUUGGCUUGGCGGUGGCAUUCAUCAGCCAGCGCCCCAUGAAUGAAUGAACGAACGAACGAAAUGAAUGGCAUGCUAGGAUGGUACAGGCCGUAGAUCUGAAACAAUUCCGUAGCUGAGCUGCUACAGCCUACAGAUAGAUAGGCACGCAGGGGCAGAGAGCGCACGGGGCUAUUGACAGUGACGGAACGGACGGACGCCAUGAGGCUGAGGGCGCGAAACACAAGAAUCAGCCGCCUCACGGCUCACAGCGGGUGCCUUUCAGGACAAUGCUAUUUCAUCUUCCGCAAUAACUGGGCAUGAACCAUGCAAUCCAAACAUGAAAUGACCACUUGUAUUCCUGCCAGCUGCUUCUCAUUUCUACUACUCUACAUGGAUUUGAUAGGGCCAUCAAUUCCUGUAUUCCAAGAGGUAAAAGAAAAGGACAUUAUGUUGCGUCGUUAACCAAAGCCAAAGGAAGAAUCAUCAUCAUCAACAACAACAACUUAGGACUACAGCUGAGUCAAGUUUGGCAUCCAACUCGAAAGUCAAAACAGAGAUGUAAUUGCUGAAGAAAGACGAGCGAAUGGGAUGAGCAGCUCAAUGACGCGCUAUUCACCCAUACAAACAAAACUCUCUGGGUACAAUAAACAUGGUAGGGAGAUCAUCAACUUGGAGGGUUUGCCGGCUUUUCUCCUUAUUUCUCAAGAGAUCACUGGGGGUAAAACUCACUCUCAGGGGGGCAGGCUACUCGGAAACAGGGCACGCACCCUCGAAAGCUUCCUGCUCCUUGCGGCAGAAGUCAAAUUCAUUCGUGUAGUAAUACAUGCACCCAGCAUACGCAUCCAUCUCCUUGGGGCACUUUUGGUGAAGUUCUUUCAACC